UCGAGAAUCUUCGGCAAUGGGCGAAAGCCUGACCGAGCGAUGCCGCGUGCGGGAUGAAGGCCCUCGGGUUGUAAACCGCUGUCGUAGAGGAGAAAGGUCUCGUGAAGAGCGAGAUUUGAUCUAUUCUAGGAGGAAGUCGGGGCUAAGUUCGUGCCAGCAGCCGCGGUAACACGAACCCGACGAACGUUAUUCGGAAUUAUUGGGCUUAAAGGGUGCGUAGGCGGUGCGGUAAGUGCGGUGUGAAAGCCCUCGGCUCAACCGAGGAAUUGCGCUGCAUACUGCCGUGCUGGAGGGAGACAGGGGUAAGCGGAACUGAUGGUGGAGCGGUGAAAUGCGUUGAUAUCAUCAGGAACACCGGUGGCGAAAGCGGCUUACUGGGUCUUCUCUGACGCUGAGGCACGAAAGCUAGGGUAGCGAACGGGAUUAGAUACCCCGGUAGUCCUAGCCGUAAACGAUGAGCACUUGAUUGAGGGCCCCCCCAUAGGCUCUCGAUCGCA
This 497-nucleotide ribosomal RNA is filed under the name uncultured Planctomycetota bacterium. Its description in RNAcentral is "bacterial SSU rRNA". It matches the Rfam family "Bacterial small subunit ribosomal RNA", at positions 355 to 850 of the family's 1533-position model. Lineage: Bacteria; Pseudomonadati; Planctomycetota. The record is from RNAcentral.